Molecule: long non-coding RNA, 786 nt
Filed under: Mytilus galloprovincialis (Mediterranean mussel)
Lineage: Eukaryota; Metazoa; Mollusca; Bivalvia; Mytilida; Mytilidae
Source: RNAcentral
GUUUUAUUGUAAGAAUGAAAUAGUCGUAGAGAAAAUAUUAUUCAGUUUUUCUGGAGAAGUUUUUAGUUUUUACCAACUCGUCAUAUAGCCUUAAAUCUAUCGUUUGACAGGCCAAAUAUUUUACACUUAUGUUGUUUAAGGUGGUAGGGGUGUCUUCCUCCAUCUUGGAUUGUAAAAAACAGAGAAUCAAAGGUCCAGAUUUUCCAUCAAGUUAUCAAAAUUCAGGAAUGCAGAUGUUUAAUGUACAUUUUCAUUUAAAAGUACCAAUUUAUAAGAAUAUAACUUCUAAAUAUUGAUAUUUUUGCAAAUGUUAAUUAUUUUUGGUUGUUUUAAUUUUUUUUUUUUUUUAAAUUGGCAUUUUAAGGGGAGGUAACUCUAAAAAAGUGCAUUUUCUGAAGGAUUCUGUAUGGAAUUUUCCUAUUUUGUAUUUUAGCCGGAAAAAACGUACGGUGACCCUAUCUUUUCUUUUGAUAUUCUCAAAGCAGAGUCUGAAAGCUAUCUUUUCCUGAAGUAUUUAACAAUUCUAUCAUUUUGUUUAGUUUCUAAUCACAAAAUGGUGUUUUUUCCUGUAUAAUCCAUACAAAAUGUGUCAUUAUGUCCCGUCCUGUAGCUUGAGAAAAUGCGCGGUGACCUAUCAUUUUUAUUAUAUUUUUCAACAUGUAUCAAUAGAUACAACGUUUUGGCAAAGUAUGAACAAAUUCUAUCAUUUUUAUUUUAGACUCCCAUACCACCUUAAAAUGAAUGAAUGUUAACAUUUAAGGUCAUCAAAACAAAAUAAUUAACCAC